UGAGGAGUAUUGGUCAAUGGGCGGGAGCCUGAACCAGCCAAGUCGCGUGAAGGAAGAAGGAUCUAUGGUCCGUAAACUUCUUUUGCAGGGGAAUAAAGUGCAGGACGUGUCCUGUUUUGUAUGUACCCUGAGAAUAAGGAUCGGCUAACUCCGUGCCAGCAGCCGCGGUAAUACGGAGGAUCCGAGCGUUAUCCGGAUUUAUUGGGUUUAAAGGGUGCGUAGGUGGUUUGAUAAGUCAGCGGUGAAAGUUUGCAGCUUAACUGUAAAAAUGCCGUUGAAACUGUCGGACUUGAGUGUAAAUGAGGUAGGCGGAAUGCGUGGUGUAGCGGUGAAAUGCAUAGAUAUCACGCAGAACUCCGAUUGCGAAGGCAGCUUACUAAGCUACAACUGACACUGAAGCACGAAAGCGUGGGGAUCAAAC
RNAcentral lists this ribosomal RNA (421 nucleotides) under uncultured bacterium. Its description in RNAcentral is "bacterial SSU rRNA". It matches the Rfam family "Bacterial small subunit ribosomal RNA", at positions 355 to 773 of the family's 1533-position model. The record is from RNAcentral.